Molecule: ribosomal RNA, 447 nt
Filed under: uncultured bacterium
Lineage: Bacteria
Description: bacterial SSU rRNA
Rfam family: Bacterial small subunit ribosomal RNA
Source: RNAcentral
UGGGGAAUAUUGGACAAUGGGCGGAAGCCUGAUCCAGCCAUGCCGCGUGAGUGACGAAGGCCUUAGGGUUGUAAAACUCUUUCGUCGGGGACGAUAAUGACGGUACCCGAAGAAGAAGCUCCGGCUAACUUCGUGCCAGCAGCCGCGGUAAUACGAAGGGAGCUAGCGUUGUUCGGAAUCACUGGGCGUAAAGCGCACGUAGGCGGAUAGUUAAGUCAGGGGUGAAAUCCUGGGGCUCAACCCCAGAACUGCCUUUGAUACUGGCUGUCUCGAGGUCGAGAGAGGUUGGUGGAAUUCCUAGUGUAGAGGUGAAAUUCGUAGAUAUUAGGAAGAACACCAGUGGCGAAGGCGGCCAACUGGCUCGAUACUGACGCUGAGGUGCGAAAGCGUGGGGAGCAAACAGGAUUAGAUACCCGUGUAGUCCCUGAGCGGGCUGGCAAGGCGCAU